CGAUGAUUUUUCUUCUCCUAUGGUCUGCCUUUUAUAGCUGAAUUUCUGAGCGGAUCUGAAAUGCGGACUUCAAAAUUUUUUGAAAACUUUGUCUUCUAGCCUUGUAGGGUUCUUCAUUGGGCCCCAUCUUCACAUGGCUGGUGCAGAGAUUCCAUUUUAUGUCGUCCACGUUUUUCUCACUUACUUGUCUUUAUAUCACGUCUGUUACAUCUGGCCCCACUUGUUGUCUC
This 230-nucleotide long non-coding RNA is filed under the name Nicotiana benthamiana. RNAcentral's name for it is "long non-coding RNA (NBEN_LNC016591)". The record is from RNAcentral. Lineage: Eukaryota; Viridiplantae; Streptophyta; Magnoliopsida; Solanales; Solanaceae.